Molecule: ribosomal RNA, 223 nt
Filed under: uncultured bacterium
Lineage: Bacteria
Description: partial 16S ribosomal RNA
Rfam family: Bacterial small subunit ribosomal RNA
Source: RNAcentral
UAACGCGUAAGAACUUGCCUCACAGUUAGGGACAACAUCUGGAAACGAAUGCUAAUACCUAAUAUUAUGAUAAUAGGGCAUCCUAUAAUUAUGAAAGCUAUAAGCGCUGUGAGAGAGCUUUGCGUCCCAUUAGCUAGUUGGAGAGGUAACGGCUCACCAAGGCGAUGAUGGGUAGCCGGCCUGAGAGGGUGAUCGGCCACAAGGGGACUGAGACACGGCCCUU